AUGUUGAAGUGACAAUUUGCCUGCAAUUUUUCAGUACACUGCGCUGUUUGUUUGCAAUGCAACUUAUCAAAAACAGCGAUGAUGUUGCAAUGCAUUUUGUUGUUCAGAAAUUAAGUAAUUUUUUUAAUACAAUAUCCCGUUUCGGAGCAAGGAUGCAAAGCAGACGCCAUCAUAUUUGGAGAUGUGUCUUCUGCAGCAGUCUACGUUUACUCUAGCACCGCGCAGUAGUACAAAUUGGAGCAGCAGUAGAAGUUUAAAUAAACAUAUUUACAAGAGUUAUAAAACGAAAACUAUGUGUGUAGUGCAGUUAUUAACUCUAGUGCAGUAGUUCUCAUGAGUUUUGUGCAGUUCGGAGUCUUCAAAAACAUAACCAUGACAGGGUCAGUACAAAGUUGUAGCAGUAAUUGAACAUCGGCCAACAAAGCCAUGAACAUGCGGUGGGAAGAGGCUGACCAUAGGAAGCAGCUUUUUGGAAAAAAUAAAAUAGGGAAAUCAAUUAAACUACGUUGGAUCACCUUCAUGUAGUCACUGGAAAAGCAGAAGUUAUCAUCGAGGGUAGCAACAGCAUAGAAGGCCACUUAUGAUUUGAACGAGAUGAAGAAGCAGUAACCCAAUCGUUGAUAAGUUGAGAGGCAAUUCCUGGAAAAGCUGUACAUCGCGCCCACCUCGCCUGCGUACAUCUGCGGCUAGAAGGAGGCUGUCCAGGCGGCUGUACAGGAAAGCCCAGCCUUAUCAGCUGCGAGUGAAAAGCUGACAGUUCAUCAGUCUCCAGCAACAUCAACUGGACGACUCUCAACAUUUCCUUUUUAUUUGCCAUAGAUUCCCAUCGUAUAAAUUUACAGUUUUUGUUUACAAUAUAUUUGUAGUUGCAGGUUCACAAACGGAGAGCAGAUUUAAGAAGCUGACCAUCCAUCGCACUUUC
This 922-nucleotide long non-coding RNA is filed under the name Nasonia vitripennis (jewel wasp). RNAcentral's name for it is "uncharacterized LOC107981397, transcript variant X1". Lineage: Eukaryota; Metazoa; Arthropoda; Insecta; Hymenoptera; Pteromalidae. The record is from RNAcentral.